This 444-nucleotide ribosomal RNA is filed under the name uncultured bacterium. RNAcentral describes it as "bacterial SSU rRNA". It matches the Rfam family "Bacterial small subunit ribosomal RNA", at positions 958 to 1402 of the family's 1533-position model. The record is from RNAcentral.
AACGCGAAGAACCUUACCUGGGCUCGAACGGCUUAAGAACAUCUUUGGAAACAUUGACUUCUCGCAAGAGACUUGAGUCGAGGUGCUGCAUGGCUGUCGUCAGCUCGUGUCGUGAGAUGUUGGGUUAAGUCCCGCAACGAGCGCAACCCUUGUCCUGUGUUGCCACUCCCGUAAGGGAAGCACUCUCAGGAGACCGCCAGCGAUAAGUUGGAGGAAGGUGGGGAUGAUGUCAAGUCAUCAUGGCCUUUAUGUCCAGGGCUACACACGUGCUACAAUGGGCGGUACAAAGCGCUGCAAACCCGCGAGGGGGAGCCAAUCGCAAAAAACCGUCCUCAGUUCGGAUCGCAGGCUGCAACUCGCCUGCGUGAAGCUGGAAUCGCUAGUAAUGGCAUAUCAGAACGAUGCCGUGAAUACGUUCCCGGGCCUUGUACACACCGGACACGC